AUUGAACGCUGGCGGCAUGCCUUACACAUGCAAGUCGAACGACAGCGCGGGGCAACCUGGCGGCGAGUGGCGAACGGGUGAGUAAUAUAUCGGAACGUACCCUGGAGUGGGGGGAUAACGUAGCGAAAGUUACGCUAAUACCGCAUACGAUCUAAGGAUGAAAGUGGGGGAUCGCAAGACCUCAUGCUCCUGGAGCGGCCGAUAUCUGAUUAGCUAGUUGGUGGGGUAAAGGCUACCAAGGCAUCGAUCAGUAGCUGGUCUGAGAGGACGACCAGCCACACUGGAACUGAGACACGGUCCAGACUCUACGGGAGGCAGCAGUGGGGAAUUUUUGGACAAUGGGCGCAAGCCUAGAUCCAGCAAUG
Molecule: ribosomal RNA, 365 nt
Filed under: uncultured bacterium
Lineage: Bacteria
Description: bacterial SSU rRNA
Rfam family: Bacterial small subunit ribosomal RNA
Source: RNAcentral